RNAcentral lists this ribosomal RNA (258 nucleotides) under uncultured archaeon. Its description in RNAcentral is "partial 16S ribosomal RNA". It matches the Rfam family "Archaeal small subunit ribosomal RNA", at positions 748 to 1009 of the family's 1478-position model. The record is from RNAcentral.
CAGCCGUAAACUAUGCUCGCUAGGUGUCAGGCAUGGCGCGACCGUGUCUGGUGCCGCAGGGAAGCCGUGAAGCGAGCCACCUGGGAAGUACGGCCGCAAGGCUGAACUUAAGGAUUGGCGGGGGAGCACAACAACGGGUGGAGCCUGCGGUUUAAUGGACUCAACGCCGGACAACUCACCGGGGACGACAGCCAAUAUGUAGGCCAGGCUGAAGACCUUGCCUGAAUCGCUGAGAGGAGGUGCAUGGCGUAGACGUCU